RNAcentral lists this ribosomal RNA (253 nucleotides) under uncultured bacterium. RNAcentral's name for it is "partial 16S ribosomal RNA". It matches the Rfam family "Bacterial small subunit ribosomal RNA", at positions 524 to 776 of the family's 1533-position model. The record is from RNAcentral.
UACGUAGGGUGCAAACAUUAUCCGGAUUUAUUGGGCGUAAAGCGUUCGUAGGUGGUUUUAUAAGUCAGAUAUGAAAGACCCAGGCUCAACUUGGGGAACGUAUUUGAAACUGUAUAACUAGAGGUAUGCAGGGGAAGAUGGAACUCACGGUGUAGCAGUGAAAUGCGUAGAUAUCGUGAGGAACGCCAAUGGUGAAGACAGUCUUCUGGGCAUUACCUGACACUGAGGAACGAAAGCGUGGGGAGCAAACGGG